ACUCCUACGGGAGGCAGCAGUGGGGAAUAUUGGACAAUGGGCGCAAGCCUGAUCCAGCCAUGCCGCGUGAGUGAUGAAGGCCCUAGGGUUGUAAAGCUCUUUCACCGGUGAAGAUAAUGACGGUAACCGGAGAAGAAGCCCCGGCUAACUUCGUGCCAGCAGCCGCGGUAAUACGAAGGGGGCUAGCGUUGUUCGGAUUUACUGGGCGUAAAGCGCACGUAGGCGGACUAUUAAGUCAGGGGUGAAAUCCCGGGGCUCAACCCCGGAACUGCCUUUGAUACUAGUAGUCUUGAGUUCGAGAGAGGUGAGUGGAAUUCCGAGUGUAGAGGUGAAAUUCGUAGAUAUUCGGAGGAACACCAGUGGCGAAGGCGGCUCACUGGCUCGAUACUGACGCUGAGGUGCGAAAGCGUGGGGAGCAAACAGGAUUAGAAACCCCUGUAGUCCCAUG
RNAcentral lists this ribosomal RNA (448 nucleotides) under uncultured organism. Its description in RNAcentral is "partial 16S ribosomal RNA". It matches the Rfam family "Bacterial small subunit ribosomal RNA", at positions 335 to 799 of the family's 1533-position model. The record is from RNAcentral.